GACGAACGCUGGCGGCGUGCUUAACACAUGCAAGUCGAGCGGAGCGGCGAACGGGGGAGUAACGCGUGAGUAACUUCCCCCCUCUCUGGGAUAACAGUUGGAAACGGCUGCUAAUACCGGCUAGUGGGGGAUGACUCGCGUCCGAUCAGCUUGUUGGGGGGGUAUUGGCCUACCAAGGCGACGACGGGUAGCCGGCAUGAGAGGGCGACCGGCCACAUUGGGCGCGGGUACGACCCAAAGUGCUACGGGAGGCAGCAGUGGGGAAUAUUGCCCAAUGGGGUAAACCCUGAUGAAGCAGCGCCGCGUGCGGGAGGACGGCCUUCGGGUUGUAAACCGCUUUCAGCCAUGACGCGGUAGUGGCAGAAGAAGCACCGGCUAACUACGUGCCAGCAGCCGCGGUAAUAC
RNAcentral lists this ribosomal RNA (405 nucleotides) under uncultured bacterium. RNAcentral describes it as "partial 16S ribosomal RNA". It matches the Rfam family "Bacterial small subunit ribosomal RNA", at positions 28 to 526 of the family's 1533-position model. The record is from RNAcentral.